This 497-nucleotide ribosomal RNA is filed under the name uncultured bacterium. Its description in RNAcentral is "partial 16S ribosomal RNA". It matches the Rfam family "Bacterial small subunit ribosomal RNA", at positions 28 to 507 of the family's 1533-position model. The record is from RNAcentral.
GAUGAACGCUGGCGGCGUGCCUAAUACAUGCAAGUCGAGCGAACAGAUAAGGAGCUUGCUCCUUUGACGUUAGCGGCGGACGGGUGAGUAACACGUGGGUAACCUACCUAUAAGACUGGGAUAACUUCGGGAAACCGGAGCUAAUACCGGAUAACAUUUGGAACCGCAUGGUUCUAAAGUGAAAGAUGGUUUUGCUAUCACUUAUAGAUGGACCCGCGCCGUAUUAGCUAGUUGGUAAGGUAACGGCUUACCAAGGCGACGAUACGUAGCCGACCUGAGAGGGUGAUCGGCCACACUGGAACUGAGACACGGUCCAGACUCCUACGGGAGGCAGCAGUAGGGAAUCUUCCGCAAUGGGCGAAAGCCUGACGGAGCAACGCCGCGUGAGUGAUGAAGGGGUUCGGCUCGUAAAACUCUGUUAUUAGGGAAGAACAAAUGUGUAAGUAACUGUGCACGUCGUGACGGUACCUAAUCAGAAAGCCACGGCUAACUACGUG